This 387-nucleotide long non-coding RNA is filed under the name Hordeum vulgare. RNAcentral describes it as "long non-coding RNA (HVUL_LNC002277)". Lineage: Eukaryota; Viridiplantae; Streptophyta; Magnoliopsida; Poales; Poaceae. The record is from RNAcentral.
GCGACGAGAUCAACCUGGCCGCCAUGGCCGUCGGCAGGAUCCAGCGGUCGGAGCUGGAGCAGCUGGUGGACGCCGAGCUCGGGUAUGGCUUCGACGAGGCCACGACGAAGGCGAUGACGAUGGUGGCGGAGCUGGCGUUCCGGUGCCUGCAGCAGAACAGUGAGAUGCGGCCGCCGAUCAGGGAGGUGCUCGACGGUCUCAGGGGAAUACAGGAGGGCGGUGCGAGGGAGAAGAAAUACGAUGUUGUGGUCGUGCCCCGCUCCCCGAACACCGUGCACGCUCCUUGGGACAGCAUGAGCACUACGCCCAGCAUUACCAGUAGCGCGUAGAAAUCGAUGGUCGGAGCUUCAAAAUGUCAACUCCCCUCCCGUUGUUGCGAAUCAGCAA